Long non-coding RNA from Tarenaya hassleriana, 508 nucleotides. RefSeq lists it as uncharacterized. The transcript is spliced from 2 exons. The record is from RefSeq and is a predicted model, not a curated record. NCBI's taxonomy places the organism in Eukaryota, Viridiplantae, Streptophyta, Magnoliopsida, Brassicales, Cleomaceae.
CCUCGGCAAAUGACAAGACGGAAUGGAGAAUAUUCGGGCCAAAUGGGCCUGUAUGAGCUGGCCCAGUAAAAUCCGCAGUGAUUUUUUUGGCAAAUAUAAAAAAUAUUACGUAAAAUCAAGUAAAAAGAUGGGAUAUGGAAAGAGUCUAUGUUGGGUGAAUAUACGCAAAUCCAUCAAAAUAUGGAAAAGUCUUCCAUGCAAGUUUUUGGAAACCACAUGGAAAAUUUCACAAAGCGCUUUGUCUUGUCUUUGGUGGAGCUUCAGAUUAGGGUUUCUGCGGUUUCUUUCGAGGAGUUUUAGAGAUCCGUCCACCAAGCUUCUUGGAUGGAGAGCCAAACUCCAUCAGCCCGGACUUUCGUUGUAAAAGUUGAUGUAAAGUGUUGCAACGGUUGCCAAACAGUUGUCAAGAGAAAGUUGCAGCGUCUCUCUGGUGAUUUUCCUCUUCAUCUUUUUUUCUUUUUUAAAUAUAUUCUACAAACUGCAAAUCUGAUAAAAAGAAGAAAAAAAA